RNAcentral lists this long non-coding RNA (780 nucleotides) under Onthophagus taurus. RNAcentral's name for it is "uncharacterized LOC111416309, transcript variant X1". Lineage: Eukaryota; Metazoa; Arthropoda; Insecta; Coleoptera; Scarabaeidae. The record is from RNAcentral.
AAGAAAUGAAUGAUUAAUUCGAAAAUAAUCCCACAGAUGUCGCCACCUUCAUUAACCUCAAAUGUGUCAAACGUCACAAUUUUUUGAUUUCCCAUUUGGUAUCAGAUAUAAAGUUAGAGAACGAUAAUUAAUUCGAAAAUAAUCCCACAGAUGUCGCCACCUUCAUUAACCUCAAAUAUGUCAAACGUCACAAUUUUUUGAUUUCCCAUUUGGUAUAAGAUAUGAAGUUAGAGAACGAUAAUUAAUUCGAAAAUAAUCCCACAGAUGUCGCCACCUUUAGUAACCUCAAAUGUGUCAAACGUCACAAUUUUUUGAUUUCCCAUUUGGUAUAAGAUAUGAAGUUAGAGAACGAUAAUUAAUUCGAAAAUAGUCCCACAGAUGUCGCCACCUUUAUUAACCUCAAAUGUGUCAAACGUCACAAUUUUUUGAUUUCGCAUUUGGUAUAAGAUAUGAAGUUAGAGAACGAUAAUUAAUUCGAAAAUAAUCCCACAGAUGUCGCCACCUUUAGUAACCUCAAAUGUGUCAAACGUCACAAUUUUUUGAUUUCCUAUUUGGUUUAAGAAAUGAAGUUAGUUAACGAUAGUUAAUUCGAAAAUAAUCCCACAGAUGUCGCCAUCUUUAUUAAACCCAAUACGUCAAACGUCACGAUUUUUUGACUUCCCAUUUGUUAGCGAAAAUAAAGUUAUUACGAGAUUGAAUUAACGGCGACAUGGUGAUUUACGUCAAAAGAUGGCGCUUCAAAAUGAUUAAUUUUUUUUAUUAAAUUAAUUUAAUUUCAAA